This 76-nucleotide microRNA precursor is filed under the name Myotis brandtii (Brandt's bat). RNAcentral's name for it is "mir-9229 microRNA precursor family". It matches the Rfam family "mir-9229 microRNA precursor family". Lineage: Eukaryota; Metazoa; Chordata; Mammalia; Chiroptera; Vespertilionidae. The record is from Rfam by way of RNAcentral.
GCGACACCCCUGUGGAGCAGGACUUGCUUCAGUGGGGUUUUGGUGCUCACUGAGUCCGCCCCUUUAAUGUGUGGCU